AUGGGACCACGCGAAGUGAGCUUCAAAAGCCUACCAAGGAAGUCCAAGAGGCGCGGCGUUCCGUUACCCAGCCCAUCUCCACGCUCUUCGUGGGGCGGGCACAAACUCUGGUUUCUCUUCAGCGUUUACCUCUUUGAGCCUAACCGGAACCUGAAGACCCAGCCUGCACCUCCAUCCUCCACCUUACCCACCACAACCUCGUUCCUACCCCAUCUUUUCAGCGCGCCAAACGACCCACCCCGGGCACUCCAGCCGUCCCAAUUUCUACUUCCCGAGGGAACUACUGUCUCCCUUACCCGCCCGAAGCACGCUCCUUCUUCGCAUACAGUGGACCCGAACUCCUCUUCCAGCUUGAGGUCCCCACCAUCUAACCGUAACGUUCAACCCACGUUCCCUCGGACGGCUCCUCCCCCACAGCCCUCUCCGCCAGGAAAGCAACUUCCGCCUGCGAGUCCGCCGCCCAAGAGCUACCCCACAAACACUUUCCUGCGGCAGGCAGCCCUGCUUGAGAGCACGCGGGCAGGGCCGGGGAAGGGGAAGACCAGAGCACUUCCGGCAGGGCUCCGCAGAGGCGUGGCUUGCCCGCCCAGCAGGCGCAGGCGCAGUGGGAACUGCGGCGACAGGGCGGGGCCCCUCGCUACAGAGCCUGCAAAGUGUGAGUCGGGAGGACGGGGGAGGGGGAGGGGGAGGGAGCUGGAGGGGGUGGGGCAGGCUUGGUUCUGGAAGCUGCUGGAAAGCGCUGGAGUGGCGGAGGUGACGCCAGAGGCUAGGGGGCGGGGCGUGAUUAAAAUUAGUGCGCGGCCUUCAGCGGAGGGAUUACGCGGCGUUGGAAGAAGAGGUCGCUGGGCGGCUGCCUGCCUGGCACGCAGGCGCAGUGAUGGGCCUCCCUGGCGGGCCGUCAUGGCGGACGCCACGACGGGCUCCCAUAGUUGGUUCUUUUCUGCCCGCGCGCCACCACCCUACGUGUUCACAAACGGUUACCACACACGGAGCUGCCCCUCCCUUCUUCCCCAAACCCAUCCUUGGAGGCCACUUUUCCUUUCUUCCCUCUCUGAUCUGCUCACGGUUGUUUAAUUUUGGUGCCCUGAGAACAUCUAUACAGUGACAAGUUUGGAGCAGAUAAAUAGCUCGAGGAAAGUCCCUUAUAGUUGUGACAUCACCUGCAGAUACUUUCUUGAGACUACCACUAAGGACAUCGUCCAUCUCAACCUACACUGCUGUCUUGCUGGUCAAAAGUCACUGCUUAAAUUGAGUAGUACAUAGCUCAGACUUGGCACAAUGAGUCUUCACGCUAUACCUGUCUCUCAGUCACCCUGCCUAGGAUCAAUAGAAGCUGAGGGGGCGGUGCAUGCAUAUAGAGGCAAGUAAAGUGCUAUUAGGAUGUGGCUUGUGUCCUGCCUUUUAAUGAGAGUGUUGCAUAGUAUGCCCCUGUUUGCCUUACAUGUUCACUUGUCUCAGAGGUGGCUUUCUGUCACGGUGUCAGUCCGCUUUGGAUUUAUUUGGGUUGCUUAGGUUUCUUUCAAAAUCUGUCUUGGUUACUUGUCUUGUUGCUGUAACAAAAAUGCCCUAAUAAUGGCAGUGCAGGGAAGAAUGGGUUUAUUGUGACUCACAGUUUAAGGUUAGUACAUCUCCUGGGGACGUCACUGCAGCAGGGGCUUGAAGUCGCUGGUCACAGUCCUGCACCGUCAAGAAGCAAAGAGCUAAGUAGAUAGAUUAAAGUGGAAUAAAAAUGUAAAGCAUUGUUCA
Molecule: long non-coding RNA, 1746 nt
Filed under: Mus spicilegus (steppe mouse)
Lineage: Eukaryota; Metazoa; Chordata; Mammalia; Rodentia; Muridae
Description: lncRNA (ENSMSIG00000023331.1)
Source: RNAcentral